Molecule: ribosomal RNA, 490 nt
Filed under: uncultured bacterium
Lineage: Bacteria
Description: partial 16S ribosomal RNA
Rfam family: Bacterial small subunit ribosomal RNA
Source: RNAcentral
AUUGAACGCUGGCGGCAGGCCUAACACAUGCAAGUCGAACGGUAACAGGAAGAAGCUUGCUUCUUUGCUGACGAGUGGCGGACGGGUGAGUAAUGUCUGGGAAACUGCCUGAUGGAGGGGGAUAACUACUGGAAACGUUAGCUAAUACCGCAUAACGUCGCAAGACCAAAGAGGGGGACCUUCGGGCCUCUUGCCAUCGGAUGUGCCCAGAUGGGAUUAGCUAGUAGGUGGGGUAACGGCUCACCUAGGCGACGAUCCCUAGCUGGUCUGAGAGGAUGACCAGACACACUGGAACUGAGACACGGUCCAGACUCCUACGGGAGGCAGCAGUGGGGAAUAUUGCACAAUGGGCGCAAGCCUGAUGCAGCCAUGCCGCGUGUAUGAAGAAGGCCUUCGGGUUGUAAAGUACUUUCAGCGGGGAGGAAGGGAGUAAAGUUAAUACCUUUGCUCAUUGACGUUACCCGCAGAAGAAGCACCGGCUAACUCCGUG